This 234-nucleotide non-coding RNA is filed under the name Lysinibacillus xylanilyticus. RNAcentral's name for it is "T-box sequence". It matches the Rfam family "T-box leader". Rfam says of the family: Uncharged tRNA acts as the effector for transcription antitermination of genes in the T-box leader family. T-boxes are found upstream of many aminoacyl-tRNA synthetase genes and some amino acid biosynthetic genes usually in Gram-positive bacteria. The anticodon of a specific tRNA base pairs to a specifier sequence within the T-box motif, and the NCCA acceptor tail of the tRNA base pairs to a conserved bulge in the T-box antiterminator hairpin. Lineage: Bacteria; Bacillati; Bacillota; Bacilli; Caryophanales; Bacillaceae. The record is from RNAcentral.
UAAAAAACGCUGACGAAGAGUAGUACAUUUGCACUUUACACGUUUAGAGAGUCUGUGGUUGCUGCAAACAGAUCGUGUAAGCAUUUGGAAUGGGCUUCCGAGUUAGCUUUGUGAACGUCUUAAUUUCCUUACUGGAGUCUAUUAGCAGAGCUCGUCCCUUCACGUUACGAAGUAAAGUGGCCUAUUUAGGCAAGCUGGGUGGUACCGCGGAUUCAAACAUCAUUCGUCCCUUCA